AACGAACGCUGGCGGCAGGCCUAACACAUGCAAGUCGAGGGGGAAGCCAUCUUCGGGUGGUGGAGACCGGCGCACGGGUNAGUAACGCGUGGGCACCUGCCCUGGGGUGGGGGAUAACCGCUGGAAACGGCGGCUAAUACCGCAUACGCCUUUAGAGGGAAAGAUUUAUCGCCCUGGGAGGGGCCCGCGUUGGAUUAGCUUGUUGGUGGGUAACGGCCCACCAAGGCGACGAUCCAUAGCUGGUCUGAGAGGAUGAUCAGCCACACUGGGACUGAGACACGGCCCAGACUCCUACGGGAGGCAGCAGUGGGAAUAUUGGACAAUGGGGGCAACCCUGAUCCAGCCAUGCCGCGUGCGUGAGAAGGCCUUAGGGUUGUAAAGCGCUUUCACCGGUGACGAUGAUGACGGUAGCCGGAGAAGAAGCCCCGGCUAACUCCGUG
This 440-nucleotide ribosomal RNA is filed under the name uncultured bacterium. Its description in RNAcentral is "bacterial SSU rRNA". It matches the Rfam family "Bacterial small subunit ribosomal RNA", at positions 28 to 507 of the family's 1533-position model. The record is from RNAcentral.